GGGCUUGACAUCCCACGAACCUGGCGAAAGGCAGGGGUGCCCGCAAGGGAGCGCGGAGACAGGUGGUGCAUGGCUGUCGUCAGCUCGUGUCGUGAGAUGUUGGGUUAAGUCCCGCAACGAGCGCAACCCUCACCCCUUGUUGCCAUCAGGUCAUGCUGGGCACUCUAGGGGAACUGCCCCGGUCAACGGGGAGGAAGGUGGGGACGACGUCAAGUCAUCAUGCCCCUUACGUCCUGGGCUACACACGUGCUACAAUGGCCGGUACAAAGGGAUGCAAGACCGCGAGGUGGAGCCAAACCCAAAAAGCCGGCCUAAGUUCAGAUUGGAGUCUGCAACUCGACUCCAUGAAGGAGGAAUCGCUAGUAAUCGCGCAUCAGCACGGCGCGGUGAAUACGUUCCCGGGCCUUGUACACACCACCAGUCGCACCACGAAAGCCAGCUGUACUCGAAGUCGCUGAGA
RNAcentral lists this ribosomal RNA (460 nucleotides) under uncultured Methylomirabilota bacterium. RNAcentral's name for it is "bacterial SSU rRNA". It matches the Rfam family "Bacterial small subunit ribosomal RNA", at positions 977 to 1435 of the family's 1533-position model. Lineage: Bacteria; Methylomirabilota (SeqCode). The record is from RNAcentral.